AUGAACGCUGGCGGCAGGCCUAACACAUGCAAGUCGAACGGAGUUAUAUUGUAGCUUGCUAUGGUAUAACUUAGUGGCAGACGGGUGAGUAAUGUAUAGGAAUCUACCUAGUAGUACGGAAUAAUUGUUGGAAACGGCAACUAAUACCGUAUACGCCCUACGGGGGAAAAAUUUAUUGCUAUUAGAUGAGCCUAUAUUAGAUUAGCUAGUUGGUGGAGUAAUAGCCUACCAAGGCAAUGAUCUAUAGCUGAUCUGAGAGGAUGAUCAGCCACACUGGAACUGAGAUACGGUCCAGACUCCUACGGGAGGCAGCAGUGGGGAAUAUUGGACAAUGGGCGAAAGCCUGAUCCAGCCAUGCCGCAUGAGUGAAGAAGGCCUUUGGGUUGUAAAGCUCUUUUAGUGAGGAAGAUAAUGACGGUACUCACAGAAGAAGUCCUGGCUAACUCCGUGCCAGCAGCCGCGGUAAUGCGGAGAGGGCUAGCGUUAUUCGGAAUUAUUGGGCGUAAAGGGCGCGUAGGCGGAUUAGUAAGUUAAAAGUGAAAU
This 543-nucleotide ribosomal RNA is filed under the name uncultured bacterium. Its description in RNAcentral is "bacterial SSU rRNA". It matches the Rfam family "Bacterial small subunit ribosomal RNA", at positions 29 to 600 of the family's 1533-position model. The record is from RNAcentral.